UACGUAGGGGGCUAGCGUUGUCCGGAUUUAUUGGGCGUAAAGAGCGUGUAGGCGGCCAAGUAGGUCCGGUGUGAAAACUCGAGGCUUAACCUCGAGAUGUCAUCGGAAACCAUUUGGCUAGAGUCCGGAAGAGGAAAGUGGAAUUCCUGGUGUAGCGGUGAAAUGCGCAGAUAUCAGGAAGAAUACCGGUGGCGAAGGCGGCAUCCUGGACCAUAACUGACGCUGAGGCGCGAAAGCUAGGGGAGCAAACGGG
RNAcentral lists this ribosomal RNA (253 nucleotides) under uncultured bacterium. Its description in RNAcentral is "partial 16S ribosomal RNA". It matches the Rfam family "Bacterial small subunit ribosomal RNA", at positions 524 to 776 of the family's 1533-position model. The record is from RNAcentral.